RNAcentral lists this ribosomal RNA (254 nucleotides) under uncultured bacterium. RNAcentral's name for it is "partial 16S ribosomal RNA". It matches the Rfam family "Bacterial small subunit ribosomal RNA", at positions 524 to 776 of the family's 1533-position model. The record is from RNAcentral.
UACGGGGGGAGCAAGCGUUGCUCGGAUUUACUGGGCGUAAAGGGCGCGUAGGCGGCCACUGCAAGUCAGUUGUGAAAUCUCCGGGCUUAACCCGGAAAGGUCAACUGAUACUGCAGGGCUAGAGUGCAGAAGGGGCAACUGGAAUUCUCGGUGUAGCGGUGAAAUGCGUAGAUAUCGAGAGGAACACCUGCGGCGAAGGCGGGUUGCUGGGCUGACACUGACGCUGAUGUGCGAAAGCCAGGGGAGCGAACGGG